GUGUGUGUGAGAGAGAGAGAGAGGAAGAGGAGAGAGCAGUAGACAGAAUAUUUUUAAGUGUUUUUAAUGAAAAGUUGGAGGAUGUCCCAGGAUGAGAACAAAGAUAUGGUACACCUGCUUGUCAAGAUUCUAACGUUAAUGUCCCACUUCCAGGAACACGAAGAUGGACUGGAUUCGCAUGCAGAUGUUGCAGCAUCUGCAUCUGAUGUUGAGAAGACACUCAAUCUACCUGCCAAUCCUCAUCUGAUUUUGCUGGUGUCCAGUCAACAUUUUUGACUGCAGUUGCAACAGUGUUUGCUGUGCACUACAUCUUCAACCUGCAGUAUCAAGAGGCGGCUUGUUGCACGUUAGAAUUUUUUCAAAGUUUUUUCAGUUCAUCAUCUGAAACACUGUCAAAUGUGGUUUUAUUCGCAUGCCAGACACGGAGAAAAUAGGAGAAAGGCAUGU
Molecule: long non-coding RNA, 447 nt
Organism: Carassius auratus (goldfish)
Lineage: Eukaryota; Metazoa; Chordata; Actinopteri; Cypriniformes; Cyprinidae
Exons: 4
Source: RefSeq, a predicted model, not a curated record